GAUGAACGCUGGCGGCGUGCCUAAUACAUGCAAGUCGAGCGAACAGACGAGGAGCUUGCUCCUCUGACGUUAGCGGCGGACGGGUGAGUAACACGUGGAUAACCUACCUAUAAGACUGGGAUAACUUCGGGAAACCGGAGCUAAUACCGGAUAAUAUAUUGAACCGCAUGGUUCAAUAGUGAAAGACGGUUUUGCCGUCACUUAUAGAUGGAUCCGCGCCGCAUUAGCUAGUUGGUAAGGUAACGGCUUACCAAGGCGACGAUGCGUAGCCGACCUGAGAGGGUGAUAGGCCACACUGGAACGGAGACACGGUCCAGACUCCUAAGGGAGGCAGCAGUAGGGAAUCUUCCGCAAUGGGCGAAAGCCUGACGGAGCAACGCCGCGUGAGUGAUGAAGGUCUUCGGAUCGUAAAACUCUGUUAUUAGGGAAGAACAAAUGUGUAAGUAACUAUGCACGUCUUGACGGUACCUAAUCAGAAAGCCACGGCUAACUACGUG
RNAcentral lists this ribosomal RNA (497 nucleotides) under uncultured bacterium. RNAcentral's name for it is "partial 16S ribosomal RNA". It matches the Rfam family "Bacterial small subunit ribosomal RNA", at positions 28 to 507 of the family's 1533-position model. The record is from RNAcentral.